AGUGAACGCUGGCGGCAGGCCUAACACAUGCAAGUCGAACGGCAGCACAGUAAGAGCUUGCUCUUACGGGUGGCGAGUGGCGGACGGGUGAGGAAUACAUCGGAAUCUACUUUUUCGUGGGGGAUAACGUAGGGAAACUUACGCUAAUACCGCAUACGACCUACGGGUGAAAGCAGGGGAUCUUCGGACCUUGCGCGAUUGAAUGAGCCGAUGUCGGGUUAGCUAGUUGGCGGGGUAAAGGCCCACCAAGGCGACGAUCCGUAGCUGGUCUGAGAGGAUGAUCAGCCACACUGGAACUGAGACACGGUCCAGACUCCUACGGGAGGCAGCAGUGGGGAAUAUUGGACAAUGGGCGCAAGCCUGAUCCAGCCAUACCGCGUGGGUGAAGAAGGCCUUCGGGUUGUAAAGCCCUUUUGUUGGGAAAGAAAAGCAGCAGGUUAAUACCCCGCUGUUCUGACGGUACCCAAAGAAUAAGCACCGGCUAACUUCGUG
This 492-nucleotide ribosomal RNA is filed under the name uncultured bacterium. Its description in RNAcentral is "partial 16S ribosomal RNA". It matches the Rfam family "Bacterial small subunit ribosomal RNA", at positions 29 to 507 of the family's 1533-position model. The record is from RNAcentral.